GAUGAACGCUAGCGGCAGGCCUAAUACAUGCAAGUCGAGGGGCAGCGCGGUAGCAAUACUGGCGGCGACCGGCGCACGGGUGCGUAACACGUAUGCAACCUACCUUCAACUGGAGGAUAGCCCGGGGAAACUCGGAUUAAUACUCCAUAACACAGGGAUCCCGCAUGGGAAUAUUGUUAAAGCUACGGCGGUUGAAGAUGGGCAUGCGUUCGAUUAGCUAGUUGGUGUAGGUAACGGCUCACCAAGGCUACGAUCGAUAGGGGGUCUGAGAGGAUGAUCCCCCACACUGGUACUGAGAUACGGACCAGACUCCUACGGGAGGCAGCAGUAGGGAAUAUUGGUCAAUGGGGCCGCAAAGGCCCUGGAACCAGCCCAUGCCGCGUGCAGGAGAAGGCCCUCUGGGUUGUAAACUGCUUUGAUAGGGACAAAUGCCACUUGCGAGUGGAGCUGAGUGUACCUAUAGAAUAAGCACC
This 473-nucleotide ribosomal RNA is filed under the name uncultured bacterium. RNAcentral describes it as "bacterial SSU rRNA". It matches the Rfam family "Bacterial small subunit ribosomal RNA", at positions 28 to 494 of the family's 1533-position model. The record is from RNAcentral.